RNAcentral lists this ribosomal RNA (205 nucleotides) under Staphylococcus aureus. RNAcentral's name for it is "partial 16S ribosomal RNA". It matches the Rfam family "Bacterial small subunit ribosomal RNA", at positions 1 to 200 of the family's 1533-position model. The record is from RNAcentral. Lineage: Bacteria; Bacillati; Bacillota; Bacilli; Caryophanales; Staphylococcaceae.
UUUAUGGAGAGUUUGAUCCUGGCUCAGGAUGAACGCUGGAGGCGUGCCUAAUACAUGCAAGUCGAGCGAACGGACGAGAAGCUUGCUUCUCUGAUGUUAGCGGCGGACGGGUGAGUAACACGUGGAUAACCUACCUAUAAGACUGGGAUAACUUCGGGAAACCGUAGCUAAUACCGGAUAAUAUUUUGAACCGCAUGGUUCAAAA